This 30-nucleotide non-coding RNA is filed under the name Frankia canadensis. Lineage: Bacteria; Bacillati; Actinomycetota; Actinomycetes; Frankiales; Frankiaceae. The record is from RNAcentral.
GUUGCGAUCCCUCCGGGGAUGAUCAGCGAC